UAGGGAAUCUUCCGCAAUGGGCGAAAGCCUGACGGAGCAACGCCGCGUGAGUGAUGAAGGUCUUCGGAUCGUAAAACUCUGUUAUUAGGGAAGAACAAAUGUGUAAGUAACUAUGCACGUCUUGACGGUACCUAAUCAGAAAGCCACGGCUAACUACGUGCCAGCAGCCGCGGUAAUACGUAGGUGGCAAGCGUUAUCCGGAAUUAUUGGGCGUAAAGCGCGCGUAGGCGGUUUUUUAAGUCUGAUGUGAAAGCCCACGGCUCAACCGUGGAGGGUCAUUGGAAACUGGAAAACUUGAGUGCAGAAGAGGAAAGUGGAAUUCCAUGUGUAGCGGUGAAAUGCGCAGAGAUAUGGAGGAACACCAGUGGCUAAGGCGACUUUCUGGUCUGUAACUGACGCUGAUGUGCGAAAGCGUGGGAAUCAAACAGG
This 429-nucleotide ribosomal RNA is filed under the name Bacteroidota bacterium. RNAcentral describes it as "Bacteroidetes bacterium partial 16S ribosomal RNA". It matches the Rfam family "Bacterial small subunit ribosomal RNA", at positions 355 to 776 of the family's 1533-position model. Lineage: Bacteria; Pseudomonadati; Bacteroidota. The record is from RNAcentral.